AGACGUCUACAUUAGAUACCCGGGUAGUCCCAGCCGUAAACUAUGCGCGUUAGGUGUAUCGGUGACCACGAGUUACCGAGGUGCCGAAGGGAAACCGUGAAACGUGCCGCCUGGGAAGUACGGUCGCAAGGCUGAAACUUAAAGGAAUUGGCGGGGAGCACAACAACGGGUGGAGCCUGCGGUUUAAUUGGACUCAACGCCGGGAAGCUCACCGGAUAAGACAGCGGAAUGAUUGCCGGGCUGAAGACUCUGCAUGACUAGCUG
This 264-nucleotide ribosomal RNA is filed under the name uncultured archaeon. Its description in RNAcentral is "partial 16S ribosomal RNA". It matches the Rfam family "Archaeal small subunit ribosomal RNA", at positions 717 to 982 of the family's 1478-position model. The record is from RNAcentral.